CUUCAACGAGCCCAGCCGCAAAGGCCGUUCGGUGGGCCGUCCCUGGCCGUACGUGGCCAGCAGGGCCUGGGCCUC
RNAcentral lists this antisense RNA (75 nucleotides) under Streptomyces sp. DpondAA-D4. Its description in RNAcentral is "ASpks TB sRNA". It matches the Rfam family "ASpks TB sRNA". Lineage: Bacteria; Bacillati; Actinomycetota; Actinomycetes; Kitasatosporales; Streptomycetaceae. The record is from RNAcentral. RNAcentral also lists the same sequence under 1 other name.